Molecule: non-coding RNA, 73 nt
Organism: Apaloderma vittatum (bar-tailed trogon)
Lineage: Eukaryota; Metazoa; Chordata; Aves; Trogoniformes; Trogonidae
Source: Rfam
GGCCAGUUAGCUCAGUCAGUUGAGCGUGGCACUAACAAUGCUAAGCUUGGGGGUUCGAUUCCUGUUCAGUCCC